RNAcentral lists this long non-coding RNA (1313 nucleotides) under Polistes dominula (European paper wasp). Its description in RNAcentral is "uncharacterized LOC107072203, transcript variant X1". The record is from RNAcentral. Lineage: Eukaryota; Metazoa; Arthropoda; Insecta; Hymenoptera; Vespidae.
UAUACUUUAAAUUAUUCAACCUAAAAAAUAUUGUGCCCGUAGAAUUAUUAAAAAAAAGAAGAAACUUUUAGGACGACCUAAUAUAUUCCUUCGAAUUCUAACCCCUUCUAGUUAAUUAUUAUAGAGCGCAAUUGCUCCAUAAUUGGUGACCCUGACGUGAUUCAGAUAGAUUACUUCGCCACGAAUUUUUCAACUCACAAGAAGAGUCCACGGCUUGAUAUUUUAAAACGUUUAUGAAACUUUAUAAAUUUAUAUGGGUUCGUUAGGAUUACAGAUCGUACAUAUCCUAUUUCUUUCAGAUCUCUUCUAAUAUUGUCCUCCCAUCAACGUCUCGGCCUAUCUAGUGGUCUUUUCUCGUUCGGUAUACCGACUAAUAUUUGUUGUACAAUCGAUGUACUUCUAUGUUAUGGAGUUUUCUCCAUUCACCCGUUUCCUCAUCGCGUUCUGCACUGAAGAUUAUACGAAGAACUUUGUUUUCGAAAACCCUAAAUUUCUUUUUGUUCCGUAACGUAAGUGACCACGUUUCGCUACCAUAAAGGACUACCGGCAGAUAUGAAAAAGGAAGUUUGGGCAACGUUUUAUCACAAAUGUUCUUCAGAUAAAAACCCUCAACAUCAAUUUUGUCCAGAAGGUGAAGACAGUUGAUGUAAAUGGCGUAAGGCAGAAGCUAAGAAUGAGCUCGACCAAUUUCAUCACGAUAAACCACCUCUAAUACCAGAAGUACAAGUAGCUAUCAAACCGGUUUUCGAAGAUUUAUCGAAAGACGAAUUAUUUAUUCGUUGUUUAGGAGCAGAGACACAAAACAAUAACGAAUCUUUGAAUUCGUUGAUUUGGACUUUUGCUCCUAAGCAUCUUCAUUCUGACCCCAAGAUUGUUGAAAUUGCUAGCUACUUAUCAGUUAUCAUCUUUAAUGAAGGUUUUAAAGGUGUUUUAAAAGUAAUGUCGGUUAUGGGGUGCCCCAUUGGCCGCGAAGCCCAUAUGUAUGUUGAGAAACGUGAUGAAAAGCGAAUCUCACGUUCUGAGCGACGCGUAAGUGAUGUCGUUAAAAAAGCCAGGAUUGACUCAAGAGCUGAACAAUCUGCUUUAAAAGAGUUUCAAGAGGAAGAGGAAGGAAUAUUCUAUGGACCAGGCAUCGCCGAUUGAGGAUAAGCCAAUCAGCCGGAAUCGUGGAGGAAGUGCGAGCUCAUUUUUUCGAGGCGGGGGUGUUCAGAACGCUGUAACUCAAGUUCUACACAAUAUUUUUAGCUUAAAAUUUAUAUUUAUACUGUCGAAAUAUAUGUUAAUAAAUGAUAAUAAACUUAAAGCUCUAUCUA